CAGUAGCCACGGGAAUACGGAGGGUGCAAGCGUUAAUCGGAAUUACUGGGCGUAAAGCGUGCGUAGGCGGUUCGUUAAGUCUGUUGUGAAAGCCCCGGGCUCAACCUGGGAAUGGCAAUGGAUACUGGCGAGCUAGAGAGUGUCAGAGGAUGGUGGAAUUCCCGGUGUAGCGGUGAAAUGCGUAGAGAUCGGGAGGAACAUCAGUGGCGAAGGCGGCCAUCUGGGACAACACUGACGCUGAGGCACGAAAGCGUGGGGAGCAAACAGGAUUAGAUACCCCCGUAGUCCCUGUCUCUUAUAC
This 301-nucleotide ribosomal RNA is filed under the name uncultured bacterium. Its description in RNAcentral is "partial 16S ribosomal RNA". It matches the Rfam family "Bacterial small subunit ribosomal RNA", at positions 509 to 807 of the family's 1533-position model. The record is from RNAcentral.